RNAcentral lists this ribosomal RNA (253 nucleotides) under uncultured bacterium. Its description in RNAcentral is "partial 16S ribosomal RNA". It matches the Rfam family "Bacterial small subunit ribosomal RNA", at positions 524 to 776 of the family's 1533-position model. The record is from RNAcentral.
GACAGAGGGUGCAAACGUUGUUCGGAAUUACUGGGCGUAAAGCGCACGUAGGCGGCUCUUUAAGUCGGGGGUGAAAUCCUGGAGCUCAACUCCAGAACUGCCUUCGAUACUGUAGAGCUUGAGUUCGGGAGAGGUGAGUGGAACUGCGAGUGUAGAGGUGAAAUUCGUAGAUAUUCGCAAGAACACCAGUGGCGAAGGCGGCUCACUGGCCCGAUACUGACGCUGAGGUGCGAAAGCGUGGGGAGCAAACAGG